GAUGAACGCUAGCGGCAGGCUUAACACAUGCAAGUCGAGGGGUACGGUUCUUCGGAACCAGAGACCGGCGCACGGGUGCGUAACGCGUAUGCAAUCUACCUUUUACAAAGGGAUAGCCCAGAGAAAUUUGGAUUAAUACCUCAUAGUAUAGCUCUACCGCAUGGUAGUACUAUUAAAGUCACAACGGUAAAAGAUGAGCA
RNAcentral lists this ribosomal RNA (200 nucleotides) under uncultured bacterium. RNAcentral describes it as "partial 16S ribosomal RNA". It matches the Rfam family "Bacterial small subunit ribosomal RNA", at positions 28 to 231 of the family's 1533-position model. The record is from RNAcentral.